Molecule: transfer RNA, 83 nt
Filed under: Pteridomonas danica
Lineage: Eukaryota; Dictyochophyceae; Pedinellales
Description: tRNA-Leu
Rfam family: tRNA
About the family: Transfer RNA (tRNA) molecules are approximately 80 nucleotides in length. Their secondary structure includes four short double-helical elements and three loops (D, anti-codon, and T loops). Further hydrogen bonds mediate the characteristic L-shaped molecular structure. tRNAs have two regions of fundamental functional importance: the anti-codon, which is responsible for specific mRNA codon recognition, and the 3' end, to which the tRNAs corresponding amino acid is attached (by aminoacyl-tRNA synthetases). tRNAs cope with the degeneracy of the genetic code in two manners: having more than one tRNA (with a specific anti-codon) for a particular amino acid; and 'wobble' base-pairing, i.e. permitting non-standard base-pairing at the 3rd anti-codon position.
Source: RNAcentral
GGAGAUAUGGUGGAAUGGUAUACACGAUAAAUUUAAAAUUUGUUAGCAAAUUUGCUAUAAGGGUUCAAGUCCCUUUAUCUCUA